RNAcentral lists this long non-coding RNA (677 nucleotides) under Mytilus galloprovincialis (Mediterranean mussel). The record is from RNAcentral. Lineage: Eukaryota; Metazoa; Mollusca; Bivalvia; Mytilida; Mytilidae.
AAAUAUACAAAAAUGAAUCUAAUAAACACAAUGUUCACAAUCAACAAUUUUCACAAAAUAAUAGUACAAUUAGUGUAAACAAUGUUCUCCAUACAUUGAAAAAUAUGUCUAUCUUAUGAAACAACAAAAAAUGAUCUAAAAAUGCCAUAAAAUUACAUUUUGAAUAACAAAAUUAUAACCCAAAAAGCGUUCCAUACACAUACUGUUUUAAGAAAAAACGUACGCCAAAAUAUAUGGCUCUAAUGGCGUUCCAUACAAAAAAUAUUUUGACAAACUGACGGAGUAAAAUCAAAAAUCGCAAAUUAAGAAGCUUAAAUUGACUAGGAAUUGUGUAUAAUAAAUGUGGGAAUAAAAAUAUUCAUCAAAUAAACAUCGGAAUGCUUAAUUUAACAUGUAAAAUACGAAAUAAGUGUGACGUGAGAUAUGACUCCUGAGAAUCGUUUGAAAUCACAAUUUAAAUCCAAAGGACUGACCUUAGACUUUAAAUACGUAUAUCGGACAUUCAAAUAAAGGUUAUACACUACAGUUUAACAGAAAACUCACCCUGUGGAGGGUUGAAUACCAUAAAAAAAAGUUUGUUUGGCUUUGCCGCUGUUGCCGAUUGGCAGACAUCAUAAUCAAAUUCAACAUAAUGACGGAACAGAUCCGUAAAAUUCCGAAGUGUGACAUUACACCGA